This 468-nucleotide ribosomal RNA is filed under the name uncultured bacterium. RNAcentral describes it as "partial 16S ribosomal RNA". It matches the Rfam family "Bacterial small subunit ribosomal RNA", at positions 28 to 507 of the family's 1533-position model. The record is from RNAcentral.
GACGAACGCUGGCGGCGUGCUUAACACAUGCAAGUCGAACGGAAAGGCCCUGCUUUUGUGGGGUGCUCGAGUGGCGAACGGGUGAGUAACACGUGAGUAACCUGCCCUUGACUUUGGGAUAACUUCAGGAAACUGGGGCUAAUACCGGAUAGGAGCUCCUGCUGCAUGGUGGGGGUUGGAAAGUUUCGGCGGUUGGGGAUGGACUCGCGGCUUAUCAGCUUGUUGGUGGGGUAGUGGCUUACCAAGGCUUUGACGGGUAGCCGGCCUGAGAGGGUGACCGGCCACAUUGGGAAUGAGAUACGGCCCAGACCCCUACGGGGGGCAGCAGUGGGGAAUAUUGCACAAUGGGCGGAAGCCUGAUGCAGCAACGCCGCGGGCGGGAAGAAGGCCUUCGGGGUGUAAACCGCUUUCGCCUGGGACGAAGCGUGAGGGAAGGGAAUGGGUAAAGAAGCACCGGCUAACUACGUG